RNAcentral lists this ribosomal RNA (429 nucleotides) under Acidobacteriota bacterium. Its description in RNAcentral is "Acidobacteria bacterium partial 16S ribosomal RNA". It matches the Rfam family "Bacterial small subunit ribosomal RNA", at positions 355 to 776 of the family's 1533-position model. The record is from RNAcentral. Lineage: Bacteria; Pseudomonadati; Acidobacteriota.
UGGGGAAUUUUGGACAAUGGGGGAAACCCUGAUCCAGCCAUCCCGCGUGUGCGAUGAAGGCCUUCGGGUUGUAAAGCACUUUUGGCAGGAAAGAAACGUCAUGGGUUAAUACCCCGUGAAACUGACGGUACCUGCAGAAUAAGCACCGGCUAACUACGUGCCAGCAGCCGCGGUAAUACGUAGGGUGCAAGCGUUAAUCGGAAUUACUGGGCGUAAAGCGUGCGCAGGCGGUUCGGAAAGAAAGAUGUGAAAUCCCAGAGCUCAACUUUGGAACUGCAUUUUUAACUACCGGGCUAGAGGGUGGCAGAGGGAGGUGGAAUUCCGCGUGUAGCAGUGAAAUGCGUAGAUAUGCGGAGGAACACCGAUGGGGAAGGCAGCCUCCUGAGAUAACACUGACGCUAAUGCACGAAAGCGUGGGGAGCAAACAGG